AGCCGGGCCGGGCCGGCCCCUCAGGGCGCUCCCGCCCGGCCCUGCCUGCCCUGAGGGCGCGGGCGCCUCCCGCCGCCGCCCGCCCUGUGGCGGCCCCGGGGCCAGUGGGCGCGGCGGUCCCCGCCGCCAGCGCAGCCCCCUGCCCGCCCGGCUCCGCCCGCCACAGCCACCUCACCUCCCCUCGCUUCUCUUCGCCUCCCGCCCGGGUGCCACCGAGCCGAGGCGCCGGGCGGGCAGCGGGCGGGCGGCCGCGCCAUGAGCGCCGAGUGCAGCAGUUACCUCAACGCCGACAAGGUGCUGGUGAGCGGGUUCAGCUGCCCGCGGGCGGGCGGCGACGCCCGCGCCGUCUUCUGCUGCGGCUUCCAGGACGUCAAGUACUGCUGCGAUGACCCCCACAGCUUCUUCCCCUACGAGCACAGCUACAUGUGGUGGCUCAGUGUUGGAGCACUCGUGGGCCUGUCAAUAGCAGCAGUGGUCCUCUUUGCUUUUAUCAUCACUGUGUGUGUUCUCUGUUAUUUGUUUAUCAGCACCAAGCCACGCAGCAAACUUGAUACUGGUUUGAGCUUACAGACAGCAGACAGUGAGGCCAGAGGGAGUUCGAUAUGUUAAAGACAGAGGCACUGAAUGGAUUCUGCCAAUGUUAUGAAGAAAAGAGAUACAGAGCUGCAUCCUUAACAAAGCCCCCACCAAAACAAACAGAGCCAAGUGACUUCAAGACACUUCCUGAGCCACAAGGAUGGACUGUGACUAUUCUUCAUCAAAACAUGUUGGAAUAUUUCUUGGGAAGCAAACUAAAAUUUUCCAGUAGUAUUUCAGUUUGGAGCACUAAUUUGUGAAAUGUUGAACUUCCUUCAGGUAAUCAAAGAGCUCUAAUUGCCCAUUUUAUUUCCCCAGAAGUCUUAGGAACAACCAAGACAAUCUUAACUGUCAUAUUUGAGUUGUCAGUUCUUUCAAGUUUCAGUCUUGAAAUCAUGAACAUUAGUGAUAAUGAUUUCUUUUCAUCUUGUGAGGGUUCUUAAAGGUGAGUGAUCAAAAGAAUUUCAAAACUGUUUAACCAUGCUGUUGAUAUUAAGGCAGUAGACAUAACUUCCAUUUGAAGAUGAGGCCUAAAAUAUUUACCUACCAUGACAAUUUUGUCUGUAGUUAUACUUCAACUUGUAAAGACAAAAUCCUUGUCUACUUCUUGGGAGUGACUUCUUUUCGUGUUCUAGUGCUUGAAAUUUAAACUCUGUAGCUGUCUGGUACUGUGCAUCAAAACCCCAAAGUGCUUCUGAUCUCAUCUGCUCUUGUGUGAAAUAAUGAAAUAAUACACCAGUGCCUCCCACUGAAGCAGAGAAUGUGGUGUAUGUUCUUCCAAUAGCUGUCUGUAUAUGAUAUCUCAUUAAACUGCUCUUUGCCACUAUGGA
RNA transcript from Passer montanus (Eurasian tree sparrow), 1406 nucleotides. It is a transcript of the gene named shisa like 2A, with no coding region annotated. The transcript is spliced from 5 exons. NCBI's taxonomy places the organism in Eukaryota, Metazoa, Chordata, Aves, Passeriformes, Passeridae. The record is from RefSeq and is a predicted model, not a curated record.